CGGGUACCAUAACUGACACUCAGGGACGAAAGCUAGGGGAGCGAAUGGGAUUAGAUACCCAGUAGUCCUAGCCGUAAACGAUGGAUACUAGGUGUUGUCUGUAUCGACCCGGACAGUGCCGUAGCUAACGCGUUAAGCAUCCACCUGGGGAGUACGCCGGCAACGGUGAAACUCAAAGGAAUUGACGGGGCCCGCACAAGCGGAGGAACAUGUGGUUUAAUUCGAUGAUACGCGAGGAACCUUACCCGGGCUUGAAUUGCAGAGGAAGGAUUUGGAGACAAUGACGCCCUUCGGGGCCUCUGUGAAGGUGCUGCAUGGUUGUCGUCAGCUCGUGCCGUGAGGUGUCGGCUUAAGUGCCAUAACGAGCGCAACCCCUCUCCUUAGUUGCCAUCAGGUCAUGCUGGGCACUCUGGGGACACUGCCACCGUAAGGUGUGAGGAAGGUGGGGAUGACGUCAAAUCAGCACGGCCCUUACGUCCGGGGCUACACACGUGUUACAAUGGCAGGUACAGAGAGACGGUCCCUUGCAAAACGGGUCGACGCGGCC
This 547-nucleotide ribosomal RNA is filed under the name uncultured bacterium. RNAcentral describes it as "bacterial SSU rRNA". It matches the Rfam family "Bacterial small subunit ribosomal RNA", at positions 728 to 1277 of the family's 1533-position model. The record is from RNAcentral.